CAGGUAUGAAUUGAUAAGAAAUGCCUGCACCUUACCUCCUUCCUAUCUUUCCCUUGCCUACAGAAAAUUAAAAGGCAAAGACAAUGGACAUCUACAUAUUCUUCAUUCAGAUCAACCAGUGGCUAGCAUUUGCCACCUUUGCAUUUUCUUUCUCUUUCCAUAAGUACUUUCUUCUCUGAAUCAUUUGAAAGCAAAUGAAAACAGUAGCCUAAAGUGUCAGUUUCAACCAGAAAAUAACAGCUCUGAUUUCUCAUGGCUCACACUCUUCUGAAAAGAUUCAGGAGGAGGCUCAGGAAGGCCAUGUUGUUUGUCUACCUGGGACUACACCUACUGAAAGAAGUUCUCAAGUUCUGAUUGAGUUCUAAAAGAUUUUGAAGAUUGGAAUUCUUCAUAGUCAGAUCUAAGAUUCUUAGUUGAAAGGAUUUCCCCACUCAGUACUUUGAAUUAAUCAACCCUACUGCCUUCUGGCCUCCAAGGUUUCUGGU
This 485-nucleotide long non-coding RNA is filed under the name Homo sapiens (human). RNAcentral's name for it is "HSALNT0385422". Lineage: Eukaryota; Metazoa; Chordata; Mammalia; Primates; Hominidae. The record is from RNAcentral.